This is a long non-coding RNA of Etheostoma spectabile (orangethroat darter), 158 nucleotides long. RefSeq lists it as uncharacterized. The transcript has 4 exons. The record is from RefSeq and is a predicted model, not a curated record. NCBI's taxonomy places the organism in Eukaryota, Metazoa, Chordata, Actinopteri, Perciformes, Percidae.
UAAACUCCCCCCCCCAGAUUCACAGACUGAGAACUACUGGCCGGGACAUUCAAAUUCUGCCUCCCCCCCUCCCGCACCUACCAUCAACUGGCGCUGCUUGUUGCCGAUUGGCUGGAACAGUGUUUUGUGGCUUAUGUCAGACUGAUCUCAUGUAAGUG